GAAGAAGAAAAGCGCGACGCUCCGCUCCCCAAUCUCGUCAUUUCCGGGGGAAGAUGUCAAAGAUGUGAUGGAGGAAAACACCUUAGGAAUCGACUCGACUAUGAUCGGCGGCGCCUUCCCGUUGGAGCUUACGGAUUUCGCCUGGGAUUCACUCCUUUGCUGGGAAGCCUGGACAGGUGAUGCUUUAAUCUGCUGAUUCCGCCAUUGAGGAUUCUGUCACAAAAUUUGCAUCUCACUUUGUUGCCUUCUAAUCUCUCUGCAUAUUCCCAGCAAACGUCUUUCUCUCUAACCAUGAGAAGGAAGAAUAAACUUCCAGAUCGAAUGACAAUUCUACAAACCGGAUCUCCCAAGAACGUGAGAUGCAAUAACAGGAAUUACAUAAUCGUAUCGGAGAAGGAAAUUUCGCCAAAUAAAUCAGUUCCAGAUCGAGUGAGAAUUCUACCAACACAUACAUUGGUGGAAACACAAACCGGAUUUACGAAGAGGCAGUAACAGCUCUACAUUGCCAGAACAACACACCGAUCGGAAUUCCAAUGAACAGGAGGAGAUUCAGUAAAAGGCAACUGUUUUUUCAUUUUCUCUGGAAAAAUCAAUAAGAAAGGGAUACGAGAAGCAGCGAGAUUGACGAAAUACAGAUACGACGAAGACGAAGAAGAAAUCCUUACUCAGCUGAGAAGCUCCAAGGCUCUUCGGAUCUG
Long non-coding RNA from Andrographis paniculata, 698 nucleotides. RefSeq lists it as uncharacterized. The record is from RefSeq and is a predicted model, not a curated record. Lineage: Eukaryota; Viridiplantae; Streptophyta; Magnoliopsida; Lamiales; Acanthaceae. The transcript has 6 exons.